AAGGCGAGAGGAAAUGUCACUACGGAAGGAGGGCCGAGAGGUCCGCCACUACCUUUAAGGGCCUACGCCAACCGUAGAACCCAACACCAAGCUGAUCAAAACUUUGACAUGACGCUUGAACAGGCUGGCAUCGAUAAUGAUGGCGCGAAAAGCGACAAGCAAAGAGAAUUGGAGACAUUGAAUUCUGCACUUAACAUUGAUCAUCCAUUGUCGCUGCCAGCUUUCUGGAUGCCAGAACCGAUCGAGCGGCUGUUCAAACUUUUGACUCUUUGUUUGUGUCACUCUCAACGAAUGACGUUAACCCAUAAUGGGAGUGUCCUCCCGUGGGGGCCCCCUCCUGUGCACGGGUAAAGUUCCGUCAGACGUCGUUUUUGGGAGAGGCCUACCCCCGCGAAGCACCAAAUUUUUACUAAGGUUGAAAGUCGGAUCAGAGCGGUAAUACCCGCAAGAAAUCUCCGCCGCAGGAUAACGCUAGGGAAAACC
Molecule: unclassified non-coding RNA, 483 nt
Filed under: Colletotrichum sp. GA-2014-A
Lineage: Eukaryota; Fungi; Ascomycota; Sordariomycetes; Glomerellales; Glomerellaceae
Description: sequence contains 18S rRNA gene, ITS1, 5.8S rRNA gene, ITS2 and 28S rRNA gene
Source: RNAcentral